CAGGCUGAACAGGAAGCUGUACAACAACCGGUCUGACAAGUUACAAGUGUGGACCUACAUCAUAUCUUCUAGAUGUACAGGUACAAAUUCUACUAGUACGAUUCGAUGCAGUGGAAGAGGUUGAAGUUGACGUUUAAGCACUAAGCAGUCACCCUGCCGAACAAGAAAUCAGUCAGGCAAAGAGGCUAGGUUGACUAGAAACUCAAUCACUGUAUCCGUGGAACUUGCCGGAAGCUAUGUGAGUUAUUUUACCUCCUUAUUUCAAAUGACCUCCAAACCAAUUACAUUGAAGAGGAGUAUAGGUAAUCAGACACUAAAGAGGAC
Molecule: long non-coding RNA, 324 nt
Organism: Bolinopsis microptera
Lineage: Eukaryota; Metazoa; Ctenophora; Tentaculata; Lobata; Bolinopsidae
Exons: 3
Source: RefSeq, a predicted model, not a curated record